CUACGGGUGGCUCCAGUGGGGAAUUUUGGACAAUGGGCGAAAGCCUGAUCCAGCCAUUCCGCGUGAGUGAUGAAGGCCUUCGGGUUGUAAAGCUCUUUCGGCCGGGAAGAAAUCGUGCAGGCUAAUAUCCUGCAUGGAUGACGGUACCGGACCAAGAAGCACCGGCUAACUACGUGCCAGCAGCCGCGGUAAUACGUAGGGUGCGAGCGUUAAUCGGAAUUACUGGGCGUAAAGCGUGCGCAGGCGGAUGUUUAAGCCAGAUGUGAAAUCCCCGGGCUUAACCUGGGAAUGGCAUUUGGAACUGGACAUCUAGAGUGUGUCAGAGGGGGGUGGAAUUCCACGUGUAGCAGUGAAAUGCGUAGAGAUGUGGAGGAACACCGAUGGCGAAGGCAGCCCCCUGGGAUAACACUGACGCUCAUGCACGAAAGCGUGGGGAGCAAACAGGAUUAGAUACCCUAGUAGUC
Molecule: ribosomal RNA, 464 nt
Filed under: uncultured bacterium
Lineage: Bacteria
Description: partial 16S ribosomal RNA
Rfam family: Bacterial small subunit ribosomal RNA
Source: RNAcentral